This 259-nucleotide long non-coding RNA is filed under the name Erythranthe guttata (spotted monkey flower). RNAcentral's name for it is "long non-coding RNA (EGUT_LNC003134)". Lineage: Eukaryota; Viridiplantae; Streptophyta; Magnoliopsida; Lamiales; Phrymaceae. The record is from RNAcentral.
CACAUUCUGGCUCCUUCUUGCUCAACCACCCACCACCCACCGUCCAUUGUUUAACCCCUUUAUCCCUGCCACCGACAUUUUCUGUAAUUGGAAUUUGCGGUGGAGAAGCGGCUUCUGAAGGUGGAAACUGCGGCGGCCACACACCUCACACAUAUUGUGUGCGCCUGACUUUUCCUCUUACUAAAACUCAAUCGCUAUGAAAUCGCUGAUCUCUGAAGGUGAAGAAGAUAUGUUAAAAAAAAAAUUGGAAAGAAGAAGA